UUCGAUUCNUCAGUAGGUAGAGCAACUGACUUGUAAUCAGUAGGUCACCAGUUCGAUUCCGGUAGUCGGCACCA
This 74-nucleotide transfer RNA is filed under the name Vibrio parahaemolyticus. RNAcentral describes it as "tRNA-Thr". It matches the Rfam family "tRNA". Rfam says of the family: Transfer RNA (tRNA) molecules are approximately 80 nucleotides in length. Their secondary structure includes four short double-helical elements and three loops (D, anti-codon, and T loops). Lineage: Bacteria; Pseudomonadati; Pseudomonadota; Gammaproteobacteria; Vibrionales; Vibrionaceae. The record is from RNAcentral.